Molecule: long non-coding RNA, 966 nt
Organism: Mytilus californianus (California mussel)
Lineage: Eukaryota; Metazoa; Mollusca; Bivalvia; Mytilida; Mytilidae
Exons: 2
Source: RefSeq, a predicted model, not a curated record
UUUCCGACAUUUUAAAAACAAAUUAAAUUUUCUCUGGGAUUUUUUCGAAUCUUGUUCCUUUUUUACUUUUCAUGUAUGUCUUGGUCUUCUCAGUCGUAAAAAAUUCGUGCUACGAGUAGAUAAAAGCGUUGGUUGUCUUAAUGGGCUCCAAACGUAUCAUAAAUUGGACCAAGUAAAAGCCAUAAACAUGACAGAUAAUUUAGAUAUUGACAAAGACGCAGAGGUGUAUACGCCUGAAUCCGAGUCAUACACACUUGAAAAUGAAGUGGAAAGACGGAAUAAAGAGGGGAAAAAAUCAAAACUGAAUAAAAGUUUUCAAAAUGACUUUCCGAUUUUAGACAAAACUCCAAAUCCCCUUGCAGAUGAGGGGACAGAUCACAGACUGACUAGUAACGAAUAUCCAAAAGUUCAGCCAGACGUUUCAGAACCUACGAACGAACAGCUAAAAAUUGAUCCUUCGAUAGAAGUUCGUUCUCAGACAGCGGAUGGAGUAACCAUUAAUGUUGGUCAAGUUGACACUCUGAGACAAGUUAUUCUUAAUACAGGACCGAGCCAACAUCAACCACACGAUACUAUUCCGAGCAAUGUGAGAUAUUUCCAAUUGUAUGUGUGCACUGGGGUCACAGGAUUUGGUAUUUUGUAUUAUAAUUCUCAUUUACUUUCGGAAUCAUGUAGCUUGUUAAAGAAUAAUGUGACAUUGUCUCUUCAGUCGGAAGCAUUUCAGUCUGCAUUGCGAAGGGCUUGUUUUAGUAACUCCAUGGUAUUUCCGUUAAUUUUAUUUAUUGCAUUAGUUGUUAUGAUAGUUUUCGUGAUUCCAGCAUACUUCUGGGAUAGAACCAGAAACCAUCAUCUUUGAUUACACCUGCAUUUAGUUAUCUUUAAACCUAGCAGUGUAACAAAUAUUGCACAUGAAAAUGAUGAAGGAUUUAUGGUACAUGUUAUUCAGAUUAUAGGCGUUUCAAUUUU